This 450-nucleotide ribosomal RNA is filed under the name uncultured bacterium. Its description in RNAcentral is "partial 16S ribosomal RNA". It matches the Rfam family "Bacterial small subunit ribosomal RNA", at positions 354 to 796 of the family's 1533-position model. The record is from RNAcentral.
GUGGGGAAUAUUCCGCAAUGGACGAAAGUCUGACGGAGCAACGCCGCGUGAGUGAUGAAGGUUUUCGGACUGUAAAGCUCUGUUGUUUAGGACGAAAGUGCCUGUUGCAAAUAGUUACAGGUAUUGACGGUACUGAACGAGGAAGCCACGGCUAACUACGUGCCAGCAGCCGCGGUAAUACGUAGGUGGCAAGCGUUGUCCGGAAUUAUUGGGCGUAAAGAGCAUGUAGGCGGGAAUCUAAGUCUGUUGUGAAAAUGCGGGGCUCAACCCCGUAUUGCGAUGGAAACUGGGUUUCUUGAGUGCAGGAGAGGAAAGGGGAAUUCCCAGUGUAGCGGUGAAAUGCGUAGAUAUUGGGAGGAACACCAGUGGCGAAGGCGGCUUUCUGGACGGUGUCUGACACUGAGGCGCGAAAGCCAGGGGAGCGAACGGGAUUAGAUACCCUGGUAGUCC